This 916-nucleotide ribosomal RNA is filed under the name uncultured Anaerolineae bacterium. Its description in RNAcentral is "bacterial SSU rRNA". It matches the Rfam family "Bacterial small subunit ribosomal RNA", at positions 8 to 934 of the family's 1533-position model. The record is from RNAcentral. Lineage: Bacteria; Bacillati; Chloroflexota; Anaerolineae.
AGGGUUUGAUCAUGGCUCAGGAUGAACGCUGGCGGCGUGCCUAAUACAUGCAAGUCGAACGAGGUGCUUUUGUAGCAAUACGAGAGUAUCCUAGUGGCGAACGGGUGAGUAACGCGUUGGUGACCUACCCCAAAGUGUGGGAUAACAGUCCGAAAGGAUUGCUAAUACCGCAUGUGGUUAUUGGAUUUAGAAACCGAUAACUAAAGGAGCAAUUCGCUUUGGGAGGGACCUGCGUCCCAUCAGCUAGUUGGUGAGGUAAUGGCUCACCAAGGCUACGACGGGUAGGGGACCUGAGAGGGUGACCCCCCACAAUGGAACUGAAACACGGUCCAUACACCUACGGGUGGCAGCAGUAGGGAAUAUUGCACAAUGGGCGAAAGCCUGAUGCAGCAACGCCGCGUGUGUGAUGAAGGCCUUCGGGUCGUAAAGCACUUUUCUGGGAGAUGAGAAAGGACAGUAUCCCAGGAAUAAGUCUCGGCUAACUACGUGCCAGCAGCCGCGGUAAACGUAGGAGGCAAGCGUUAUCCGGAUUCACUGGGCGUAAAGCGCGUGCAGGCGGUGCGGUAAGUUGGGCGUGAAAUCUCCCGGCUCAACUGGGAGAGGUCGUCCAAUACUACCGUACUAGAGAGCAGAAGAGGAAGAUGGAAUUCCCGGUGUAGUGGUGAAAUGCGUAGAUAUCGGGAGGAACACCAGUGGCGAAGGCGAUCUUCUGGUCUGUUUCUGACGCUCAGACGCGACAGCUAGGGUAGUAAACGGGAUUAGAGACCCCGGUAAUCCUAGCCGUAAACGAUGUGAACUUGGCGUUGGUGGGUUAAACUCCAUCAGUGCCGUAGCAAACGCGAUAAGUUCACCGCCUGGGGACUACGGCCGCAAGGUUAAAACUCAAAGGAAUUGACGGGGGCCCGCACAAGCAGCG